This 45-nucleotide non-coding RNA is filed under the name Schistosoma mansoni. Lineage: Eukaryota; Metazoa; Platyhelminthes; Trematoda; Strigeidida; Schistosomatidae. The record is from RNAcentral.
AUCCAGCUGACGAGUCCCAAAUACGACGAAACACGCGUCCUGGAU